UCCCGACGCUCCAAGUCGCAGCCACAAUUAUUGGGUCUAAAACAUUCGUAGCUCGUUUUUUAAGUUCUUUGUGAAAUCUGACAUCUUAAGUGUUAGGCGCGCAAGGAAUACUGGAAAACUUGGGACCGGAGGAAGUAAGGAGUACGACCGAGGUAGUAGUAAAAUAUGUUAAUCUUGGUUGGACUAACAACAGCGAAGGCACCUUACUAAUACGGAUCUGACAGUGAGGAAUGAAGGCUAGGGUCGCGAAACG
RNAcentral lists this ribosomal RNA (253 nucleotides) under uncultured archaeon. RNAcentral's name for it is "partial 16S ribosomal RNA". It matches the Rfam family "Archaeal small subunit ribosomal RNA", at positions 474 to 726 of the family's 1478-position model. The record is from RNAcentral.